RNAcentral lists this long non-coding RNA (308 nucleotides) under Helianthus annuus (common sunflower). RNAcentral's name for it is "hypothetical non coding rna". The record is from RNAcentral. Lineage: Eukaryota; Viridiplantae; Streptophyta; Magnoliopsida; Asterales; Asteraceae.
UGUAUUAAAAUAGAGUUCAAUGCAAAAGCAAAGGCGAGUAUACAAGUUUGACUACAUAGCAUAAUAGAAUAAAAACUCAUAUCCAACAUGUAACAUAGUGAAUAAAUUUACUAGCAAUGCAAUUUUUGGCGUACUAUAUGAUCAAACCCAAGAAUACAACGCACAAAAAUAGCCUAAUCCCAAUCGUUCAGCGGGGUGGUAAUGUUUAACUUAACAAUACCCAAUUAGAAUAGCGGGCGGGGCGUUAAUCCUAUAGCGCUAUAAUUGUUAAGGCUCUUAUGGUAUACAUGUUGCAUCCCAAAGUGUAA